RNAcentral lists this ribosomal RNA (965 nucleotides) under human gut metagenome. Its description in RNAcentral is "bacterial LSU rRNA". It matches the Rfam family "Bacterial large subunit ribosomal RNA", at positions 1957 to 2925 of the family's 2925-position model. The record is from RNAcentral.
UAGCGAAAUUCCUUGUCGGGUAAGUUCCGACCCGCACGAAAGGCGUAAUGAUUUGAGCGCUGUCUCGACAAUGCAUCCGGUGAAAUUGAAGUACCAGUGAAGAUGCUGGUUACCCGCGCCAGGACGGAAAGACCCCAUGGAGCUUUACUCCAGUUUGAUACUGGGAUUCGGUACUGCACGUACAGGAUAGGUGGGAGACUGAGAACUAUGGACGCCAGUCUGUAGGGAGUCGCUGUUGGGAUACCACCCCUGUAGUACUGGGUUUCUAACCAUCUGCCGUGAUCCGGCAGUGGGACAAUGUCAGGCGGGGAGUUUGACUGGGGCGGUCGCCUCCGAAAGGGUAUCGGAGGCGCUCAAAGGUUCCCUCAGAAUGGUUGGAAACCAUUCGAAGAGUGCAAAGGCAGAAGGGAGCUUGACUGCGACACCGACGGGUGGAGCAGGUACGAAAGUAGGACUUAGUGAUCCGGUGGUAUAAAGUGGGAUUGCCAUCGCUCAACGGAUAAAAGCUACCCUGGGGAUAACAGGCUUAUCACUCCCAAGAGUUCACAUCGACGGAGUGGUUUGGCACCUCGAUGUCGGCUCAUCGCAUCCUGGGGCUGUAGUAGGUCCCAAGGGUUGGGCUGUUCGCCCAUUAAAGCGGUACGCGAGCUGGGUUCAGAACGUCGUGAGACAGUUCGGUCCCUAUCCGGCGUGGGCGUAGGAUAUUUGAGAGGAGCUGUCCUUAGUACGAGAGGACCGGGAUGGACGGACCACUGGUGUAUCUGUUGUCGACCAACGGCAUGGCAGAGUAGCCAAGUCUGGAAGGGAUAAACGCUGAAGGCAUCUAAGCGUGAAGCCCCCCUCAAGAUGAGAUAUCCCUCCUUCGGGAGUAAGACCCCUUGAAGACUACAAGGUAGAUAGGGCAGAGGUGGAAGUGUGGCAACACAUGGAGCUGACUGUUACUAAUAGGUCGAGGGCUUGAUUAA